UACGAAGGGUGCAAGCGUUACUCGGAAUACUGGGCGUAAAGCGUGCGCAGGCGGUGAUGUAAGACAGUUGUGAAAUCCCCGGGCUCAACCUGGGAACUGCAUCUGUGACUGCAUCGCUGGAGUGCGGCAGAGGGGGAUGGAAUUCCGCGUGUAGCAGUGAAAUGCGUAGAUAUGCGGAGGAACACCGAUGGCGAAGGCAAUCCCCUGGGCCUGCACUGGACGCUCAUGCACGAAAGCGUGGGGAGC
RNAcentral lists this ribosomal RNA (246 nucleotides) under uncultured bacterium. RNAcentral's name for it is "partial 16S ribosomal RNA". It matches the Rfam family "Bacterial small subunit ribosomal RNA", at positions 524 to 769 of the family's 1533-position model. The record is from RNAcentral.